This 119-nucleotide ribosomal RNA is filed under the name Carlito syrichta (Philippine tarsier). Lineage: Eukaryota; Metazoa; Chordata; Mammalia; Primates; Tarsiidae. The record is from RNAcentral.
UCCUGGUCACUCACCUCAGCCAAAGUACCUGGUCUCAUCUGCUCUCAGAAGCUAAGCAAGAUUAGGCCAGGUUAGUACUUGGAUUAUAGAGCACCUGGGAAUACUGGGUACUUUAGGCU